ACAGGUGCGGCCCUAAAAAGAUAAAUAAAUAAACAGUUGACCCUAAUAACACAAGUUUAAACUACACAGUUCCACUUACAUGUGGAUUUUUUUUUUUCAAUACUAAGUACUACAGCGCUACACGAUCCACAGUUGGUUGAAUCCAUGGAUACAGAACCACAUAAUGCGUUAUCGCAGAUAAGAACGAGGCACCGGGCUCAAACCCAGGCCGGGAUGGCGCCCUGAACAUGCACUUCUGGCAGGCCCCCUGACGCCGUGAAGCUCUGGCGUCACGUCUGAGGACCAUUUGGAAGCAGGGCCUUCCUCUGACUGGGAGCCUUCUGCAGGGUCUGGCUCUCACAGGUCCUCUCCGCACCCGGCUGCGCCUCCGGACUAAACACAUCACCACCCUCAGGCCUUCGGAGAGAAGCCGCCGGGACCGGAGCCAGCCUGUGCGCCCGGGUAGGUUCCGAGUGCGCUCCGACUCCGCUUUUGCGUUCCGGCCGCGGGCCCCCAGGGUGCGCGGCAGGAGGUGGACACCAGGGGCAGCCCUGCGCUGGUCCUGCGGGGCGCGCUUCCGGCCGCGCAGGCGCAGAAGGCCGCGUGCGGGGCCGCUUGAUGGGGCCGCAGAAAAGAAAAAAGAUCCUACUCGCUGUGAAAAAUGGAUUGGAAAAGAGAAAGCAGUGGGAGAGUGUGUAGGAAAGUGUUGCAGAAGCCCAGGUAGGAGAUGUCUAGACCAGGGCUGGGGGUGGAGGUGGCAGAGAGAGGAAGCGGGGUGUGAGCAGAUUUGGGAGGGAGGAAUCAAGCCACAUGGAUUUGUGCCUAUCACCAUGGGGACUUGUGACAGGAGAGAGAAGUCAGUUGUGGGCAUCCCAGGUCUUGAGGGGCCAGCUGAGUGAAGUGUAGGAAGGGCCACAGAGCAGAUUUGAAGCCAUGAGCGUGGACUUGGCCUUCAGAGCCAUGUGUGUGGUGAGACCACCUAGAGAGCAUGGUAUGGAAGGGGGCCCUCGGCACCUGGGGGGAUGCCAUCGCCUGAGGCAGGCUUGCCGGCUGCUGACCUCCACCCAUAUUUAU
RNAcentral lists this long non-coding RNA (1053 nucleotides) under Sus scrofa (pig). Its description in RNAcentral is "lncRNA (ENSSSCG00015039270.1)". Lineage: Eukaryota; Metazoa; Chordata; Mammalia; Artiodactyla; Suidae. The record is from RNAcentral.